This is a long non-coding RNA of Bactrocera latifrons, 1748 nucleotides long. RefSeq lists it as uncharacterized. The transcript is spliced from 2 exons. The record is from RefSeq and is a predicted model, not a curated record. NCBI's taxonomy places the organism in Eukaryota, Metazoa, Arthropoda, Insecta, Diptera, Tephritidae.
CAUAACUGUAUGUGUCUGUCAAUAUCAAAUUGAAACCUAAUAAAUUGCCAGUUUUUCAGGGAAACUCUGUUUUGAAAAUAAGCAACAUUAUGUGUUAAUAAUAGAAAAUAAUAAUAAAAUUUCACUCGUUUAAAGAAUUCUUUCCAUUAUUACUUCUGUUUGUCCUUUAAUUAUCGAUUGAGCCAGUACGAAACCUGCCGGGUCAGCUAGAAUAUCAUUUUCACAUUACUGGUUUUUAACUUGCAAACUGUGGUUUGAAUGCCGUUUAUUCUCAAUGCGCGCGUGUUUGAAUGCUCUUAUCUCUAUUUACCGUUUUUGCCAGUGAGUAAGUGGUGCUAAGUGAGCGAGAAAUUUUAUAAAUUUAAUUAAUUACAAUUUAUGAUGCCGAGGAGAAAACGACCUGGCAGUUGUUGUUGCAGUUAAUCAAAAGUGCGAGAGGUAUUUCAGGUACUUACCGCACUAAUAACCAGAGAAAGACAGAUUAAGAACAUAGUUGUAUUUCUAUGGCGCUAUUUAGUGAGUGACAUUGAAGUAGAUAGGCGUAGAAUGCAACGAGUUCGUGCACAUCAACAGCAAGAACAACAUAAUGAAAUUCACCGCCGCAUUGAUCCUGUGAUUCUUGAACGAGCUGUAUUUCGCUAUGAUCCGGUAAUCGACUAAUCGGCAACAAUUGGAGAAACGAAAAUAUAUGUAAAUUUUGUAGGACGGUAAACUACACUGGUGAAUUUACUUAAUUACGUUGUGCUGGAGGAAAAGUAAAAUUGGCACAAUUGGUCCCACCACCAAAUACUUUGCGCUCUUUAAAAAUAUGUGUAACAGCUGUUUUCAGAGGACAUGAUUUGGCGCUACACAUAUUAUACAAGACAAGUUCAUGGCCACUUUCGAGGAAUAUUUUUUUAAAAUAUUCUGGUACUCAAAUAUUUAUAGCGGGAAUAAUUAAUGGAAACAUUUUUAAAAAUUACAGAUACAAAAAUAAAUUUAUCGCUUAGUUGGGGCACUGUUAUCACUACCUGAUGCGGAUCCUUAAUUUUUAAACAUUUAUUUGCUAAGAAAUUCAUCUUCCACACAUGAAUCGUUGUGCUCAUAAUCCAACAGUGCAGAGAACCAUUGCCCAAGAAUUACAAAUGUUUCUUUGUCAGAAUAAAAUUUUAAUAAACAUGUUCACAAUAGCAUUACCAUAAUAUUACCAUUCGAGUCGACAAAACACCUGCCGGUGAACGCACAAGGAGUUUCAAUUCACCUACCAUUGACGAAGUGGAUGUUGCCAUUGUAGAAGAAAAUUUACAAUCUAUAGAUAUUCAUCGUCGUAAUAGUGAUUUAAGACGUGUGUUCAUCAAUCAAAAUCAAUCAACAGGUGCUGUAUUUAAAUGAGCUAAGCGUCGUUCUACCUGGCUACUCUAUUCGGGAAAAAUUUGCGUACCCUAGUACAACACAUCACACUUGAGAACCCCACCACACUCACCGAUGACACCUCUUGAUCACCACACAUCGAACAAGACAAAAAAGGAAUUGAAUCAUCGCUAAGAAUACAUUCGUUUAUCAACACCUAACCCAUGCGCUGCCGUCGUCACCACCCGGCUACAACGUCCUUCGCUAAAGCAUCCAUACUUGAAUUGGAUUACGAUUCGUUUGAUCACCGUCGACCUUACGUACCGAUUUUAGAUCAGUGCACCAAUACAUUUACUUUUGCAUAUUUUAUUGUAAAAAUGAACAAUUUCCUCUGCAAAUUAAAUGCAUUUUAAACUUGA